Molecule: long non-coding RNA, 672 nt
Filed under: Bos indicus x Bos taurus (hybrid cattle)
Lineage: Eukaryota; Metazoa; Chordata; Mammalia; Artiodactyla; Bovidae
Description: lncRNA (ENSBIXG00005017921.1)
Source: RNAcentral
AUGGCAUUUUCUUCAAAUUACAUGUUUUUUUCAAAGUAUAUUUCCACUAAAAAGCGACCAACCAUAAAAAAGCCACCAAAAAUCAACCAACCAACCAAUAUAGACAAUAUUUUUAAGUGUGUAAGGAUCAAUAAGUUUCUAUGUGUGUGCUUAGUCGCUCAGUCAUUUCUGACUCUCUGUGACACCAUGUACUGUAGCCCACCAGGCUCCUCUGUCCAUGGGAAUUUUCCAGGCGAGAAUAUGGAGAGCAGGUUGCCAGUUCCUACUCCAGAGGAUCUUCCUGACUCAGAGGUUGAACCUGAGUCCUCCCUCGUUUUGGUCCUUCCUGAAUUCUUCCAGAGUUUGUGUGAAUGCCACUUUACCAGCAACAGGAAGGGGGUGCCUACUUUUUCAUCUUGCCCACGACAUCCUGCAUCAGAUGUUUCUCUGCCCACCUAUCAGCCUGAAGACACUGGCUUGGCUCCACCUGGUUUCCUAAUGCUGGAUCUCUCUGGAGAUGGGGCCUCAUCUUCAACACGCACCCAAAGCAGCAAGUCUCUCAUAUCCUUCCACUGUAGUGAUCUCUUGUCUGGGCUGAAAGAUGAUCUUUUCUUCUGGGCUGUUCUUUUCCUCUUUCAGCUUAUUUCCAAGCACCAUUCAGGCCCUGGUGAGAGUUUGGAUGCUCUUGUUUGA